This 1937-nucleotide small RNA is filed under the name Arabidopsis thaliana (thale cress). RNAcentral describes it as "ATSL206050". The record is from RNAcentral. Lineage: Eukaryota; Viridiplantae; Streptophyta; Magnoliopsida; Brassicales; Brassicaceae.
UCAUGUUUUUGAACUUAAUGAAUGUUAAAGGGAUUGGUUGAUCUUGAGGCAUUGUGCAUUUGAGUGUAGGUUUGGAUCAUAACAGAGCAUGGCUAAAGUUUCUAAGUAGAAGUCGAUCACCUCGCAUCUUAGAACUGUUAGCCGGUACAUUGAUCUUAAUUGUCAUAUCUCAUGCUUUGGUUCUGAAUCCCCAACUUCAAACCUCUCCUUCCGCUGAUGUCUUCUUGUUUGCUUGAGGGCAAGCAAAGACUAAGUUUGGGGGAGUUGAUAUGUCUAUAAUUUGCAUGAUUUAGGCAUUCAUUCUUCACCACUUUGUCAAUGUUUCAUCCACAAAUCAUCUCAUUAGGAGUCGUUUUAGUUUUUUUUACAUACUUAGGACGAUUUUGCAUUAGGAUUGCAUGUGCAUGGCAUAUUUGGUUAUUUUCAGGUACUUUGGAUGCUUUUGGAGUUCAAACAGAGGAACAAUAGAACAUAAAGUCGGAAUGCCCAAUGACGCCUUCGGCAAAAGUACUCUAUCGCAGCCUCGAAGCCCUGCCAGGGCAAAUCACUCUAUCGCAACCCCAGAGAAGCAAGCAGCUCAGUUUCACUCAAUCGCGAAGCCGGAGGAAUCACCCCAUCAGAACCACUCGAUCACCACUCGACCACCAAGAAGCCUAUCUGCUCGUUCUGCACUCAACCAGACAAGCUGAGAAUAAAGAAGAGAAGAGAAGCCGAAGAAACCACUCGAUCACCACCUCAUGACAUCCACUCGAUCGCACUCGAUCACAGGGUCGCUGGACCAUUCAAUCUCGACUUCACUGCAUCUCACUCGAUCGCAAGACGUAGCCCUUGAAGCCCAGUUUGAUCAAUGACAUACUCGAUCACUAGGAAGCUCAUUUCAGCCUGUUAGAUGCCAAUGACACAUUUGGUCGCAGGAUCAUGACGUGAAGAUUCGCUAUAUAUUUAGUUUCCUUAUUUGUUUCAUUUCUCGCUUAUAUAAACUGCCUCUUAGGGUUUUCCAUUGGGCAUCCGUUAUUAUCUCGCUUUUUUACAUUUUCGCAACUUUGCCGUAGUGUUUCUCCUGCGACUUUGUAUUUUCACUUUCAAGUAUUUGAUAUUCAGUUUUCGUUUAAGUCUUUCGUCAUUUCUGUUAUCAUGUUUUCAAUCGUUGCUUUGCUAUUGCCUUUGAUUAUGUGUGAGUAGUGAACUGUAUUUCUGAGGAUGGGAUAGAAUAGUUGUGGUUUACUUGGUCGUUUUAGGUGGUUGAGUUUAGAAUACUAGAAUCCCUUCUGGAUUAGGUGCGUUUAUUGCUUGUUUCGCUGGCUAAUGUGGAAUAUGAGUCCAGACGUCCAGCGCUCAGAAGGCGUUUUAUGGGCGUUGGAUCCUAUUAAUUCCAGAGAUAUCUGACUCUACCCCAAGGGAUUUGCUGUAGAGAGGGUAUUGGCUUUAACAUGUUGAUUCGAUAAUGCCUGCUUAGUUAGAGAUCGCUAAAGGGAUUUAGGUCAGUAUCUAGCUUUGCUUUAGGAUUUCUAUCACGGGAGUGAAUUAAUCUGUUGUUGAACUUGUUGUCUAGGGAUAGCUUCUGUGAAGUUUUGUCAACCGCCUAAAUAGAUUAAGGAGACCACACUAUUCGAUUACCCCAUCCUUAGGAAUCAUUUAUCCAUUUGAUUGCCUGUUAUCAUUUCUGCUUUGUUAUUCACUUGCCUGCUAUUGCCAUUUCUGCUUUUAGUUUCAUUUCAUUUCUGUUAUUGCAUACUAGGACUGUUAGAACCAAUCAACUUUCUGCUUGGCUUGACUUAGAGCUUUCUGAUCAUAUCUCAUCUGUUUGCAUCACACCGGAUUGGAUUGACAUCCUAAAAUACUACAACGACAAGAUAGUGUUUUAGGGAUUAAUUGAGUAAAAUCCUACUAUCAGACACUCUAGGCAGUGCCAACCGCCAACUCGCCGGAGACUCAAC